RNAcentral lists this ribosomal RNA (811 nucleotides) under Fusarium lateritium. Its description in RNAcentral is "eukaryotic LSU rRNA". It matches the Rfam family "Eukaryotic large subunit ribosomal RNA", at positions 76 to 919 of the family's 3401-position model. RNAcentral also lists the same sequence under 1 other name. Lineage: Eukaryota; Fungi; Ascomycota; Sordariomycetes; Hypocreales; Nectriaceae. The record is from RNAcentral.
UGCCCUAGUACGGCGAGUGAGCGGCAACAGCUCAAAUUUGAAAUCUGGCUCUCGGGCCCGAGUUGUAAUUUGUAGAGGAUACUUUUGAUGCGGUGCCUUCCGAGUUCCCUGGAACGGGACGCCAUAGAGGGUGAGAGCCCCGUCUGGUUGGAUGCCAAAUCUCUGUAAAGUUCCUUCGACGAGUCGAGUAGUUUGGGAAUGCUGCUCUAAAUGGGAGGUAUAUGUCUUCUAAAGCUAAAUAUUGGCCAGAGACCGAUAGCGCACAAGUAGAGUGAUCGAAAGAUGAAAAGCACUUUGAAAAGAGAGUUAAAAAGUACGUGAAAUUGUUGAAAGGGAAGCGUUUAUGACCAGACUUGGACUUGGUUAAUCAUCUGGGGUUCUCCCCAGUGCACUUCUCCAGUUCAGGCCAGCAUCAGUUUUCGCCGGGGGAUAAAGGCAGCGGGAAUGUGGCUCUCUUCGGGGAGUGUUAUAGCCCGUUGUGUAAUACCCUGGUGGGGACUGAGGUUCGCGCUUCUGCAAGGAUGCUGGCGUAAUGGUCAUCAACGACCCGUCUUGAAACACGGACCAAGGAGUCGUCUUCGUAUGCGAGUGUUCGGGUGUCAAACCCCUACGCGUAAUGAAAGUGAACGCAGGUGAGAGCUUCGGCGCAUCAUCGACCGAUCCUGAUGUUCUCGGAUGGAUUUGAGUAAGAGCAUACGGGGCCGGACCCGAAAGAAGGUGAACUAUGCCUGUAUAGGGUGAAGCCAGAGGAAACUCUGGUGGAGGCUCGCAGCGGUUCUGACGUGCAAAUCGAUCGUCAAAUAUGGGCAUG